Molecule: ribosomal RNA, 497 nt
Filed under: uncultured bacterium
Lineage: Bacteria
Description: partial 16S ribosomal RNA
Rfam family: Bacterial small subunit ribosomal RNA
Source: RNAcentral
GACGAACGCUGGCGGCGUGCCUAAUACAUGCAAGUUGAGCGCUGAAGGUUGGUACUUGUACCAACUGGAUGAGCAGCGAACGGGUGAGUAACGCGUGGGGAAUCUGCCUUUGAGCGGGGGACAACAUUUGGAAACGAAUGCUAAUACCGCAUAAAACCUUUAAACACAAGUUUUAAGUUUGAAAGAUGCAAUUGCAUCACUCAAAGAUGAUCCCGCGUUGUAUUAGCUAGUUGGUGAGGUAAAGGCUCACCAAGGCGAGGAUACAUAGCCGACCUGAGAGGGUGAUCGGCCACAUUGGGACUGAGACACGGCCCAAACUCCUACGGGAGGCAGCAGUAGGGAAUCUUCGGCAAUGGACGAAAGUCUGACCGAGCAACGCCGCGUGAGUGAAGAAGGUUUUCGGAUCGUAAAACUCUGUUGGUAGAGAAGAACGUUGGUGAGAGUGGAAAGCUCAUCAAGUGACGGUAACUACCCAGAAAGGGACGGCUAACUACGUG